GAGUUUGAUCAUGGCUCAGGAUGAACGCUGGCGGCGUGCCUAACACAUGCAAGUCGAACGGAGUUUAUGAGGAAGAAGCUUCGGCGGAAUUCUUAUAAACUUAGUGGCGGACGGGUGAGUAACACGUGGAGAACCUGCCUCUUACCGGGGACAGCAGUUGGAAACGACUGAUAAUACCGCAUAAGCGCACGAGACCGCAUGGUCCUGUGUGAAAAGAUUUAUCGGUAAGAGAUGGCUCCGCGUCUGAUUAGCCAGUUGGCGGGGUAACGGCCCACCAAAGCGACGAUAAGUAGCCGGCCUGAGAGGGUGAACGGCCACAUUGGGACUGAGACACGGCCCAGACUCCUACGGGAGGCAGCAGUGGGGGAUAUUGCACAAUGGAGGAAACGUACU
RNAcentral lists this ribosomal RNA (393 nucleotides) under uncultured microorganism. RNAcentral's name for it is "bacterial SSU rRNA". It matches the Rfam family "Bacterial small subunit ribosomal RNA", at positions 9 to 384 of the family's 1533-position model. The record is from RNAcentral.